Molecule: ribosomal RNA, 492 nt
Filed under: uncultured bacterium
Lineage: Bacteria
Description: partial 16S ribosomal RNA
Rfam family: Bacterial small subunit ribosomal RNA
Source: RNAcentral
CUUCAACUCUGGCGGUAGGCCUAACACAUGCCAGUCGAACGGCAGCACAGUAAGAGCUUGCUCUUACGGGUGGCGAGUGGCGGACGGGUGAGGAAUACAUCGGAAUCUACUUUUUCGUGGGGGAUAACGUAGGGAAACUUACGCUAAUACCGCAUACGACCUACGGGUGAAAGCAGGGGAUCUUCGGACCUUGCGCGAUUGAAUGAGCCGAUGUCGGAUUAGCUAGUUGGCGGGGUAAAGGCCCACCAAGGCGACGAUCCGUAGCUGGGCUGAGAGGAUGAUCAGCCACACUGGAACUGAGACACGGUCCCGACUCCUACGGGAGGCAGCAGUGGGGAAUAUUGGACAAUGGGCGCAAGCCUGAUCCAGCCAUACCGCGUGGGUGACGAAGGUCUUCGGGUUGUAAAGCCCUUUUGUUGGGAAAGAAAAGCAGCAGGUUAAUACCCCGCUGUUCUGACGGUACCCAAAGAAUAAGCACCGGCUAACUUCGUG